UGAGGAACAUGACCUUCGGCGGGGGAUAGCCGGCCCAACGGCCGGGUAAUACCGCGUACGACCACAUGGGGACAUCCCUGAGUGGUGGAAGCAGCAAUGCGCCGAUGGAGUGCCUCGCGGCCUAUCAGCUAGUUGGUGAGGUAACGGCUCACCAAGGCAACGACGGGUAGCUGGUCUGAGAGGAUGGCCAGCCACAUUGGGACUGAGACACGGCCCAGACUCCUACGGGAGCAG
This 234-nucleotide ribosomal RNA is filed under the name uncultured bacterium. RNAcentral describes it as "partial 16S ribosomal RNA". It matches the Rfam family "Bacterial small subunit ribosomal RNA", at positions 118 to 347 of the family's 1533-position model. The record is from RNAcentral.